GUCUAUGGCCAUGCCACCCUGAAUGUGUCUGAUCUUUUCUAAUCUUGGAAGCUAAGCAGGAUCGGGCCUGGUUAGCACUUGGAUGGGAGACCAUCUAUGAAGAAAGACCAGGUGCUAUAAGUG
RNAcentral lists this ribosomal RNA (123 nucleotides) under Pteropus vampyrus (large flying fox). The record is from RNAcentral. Lineage: Eukaryota; Metazoa; Chordata; Mammalia; Chiroptera; Pteropodidae.